AUUGAACGCUGGCGGCAUGCCUUACACAUGCAAGUCGAACGGCAGCACGGGAGCAAUCCUGGUGGCGAGUGGCGAACGGGUGAGUAAUAUAUCGGAACGUGCCCAGUCGUGGGGGAUAACGUAGCGAAAGCUACGCUAAUACCGCAUACGAUCUAUGGAUGAAAGCGGGGGAUCGCAAGACCUCGCGCGAUUGGAGCGGCCGAUAUCAGAUUAGGUAGUUGGUGAGGUAAAGGCUCACCAAGCCGACGAUCUGUAGCUGGUCUGAGAGGACGACCAGCCACACUGGGACUGAGACACGGCCCAGACUCCUACGGGAGGCAGCAGUGGGGAAUUUUGGACAAUGGGCGCAAGCCUGAUCCAGCAAUGCCGCGUGCAGGAUG
This 380-nucleotide ribosomal RNA is filed under the name uncultured bacterium. Its description in RNAcentral is "bacterial SSU rRNA". It matches the Rfam family "Bacterial small subunit ribosomal RNA", at positions 30 to 410 of the family's 1533-position model. The record is from RNAcentral.